GGAUUGUGGCUCAGUGGUAGCGCGCUUGCCUAGCACGUGUGAGCCACUGGGUUCGAUCCUCAGCACCA
RNAcentral lists this transfer RNA (68 nucleotides) under Marmota monax (woodchuck). RNAcentral's name for it is "tRNA.Ala". The record is from RNAcentral. Lineage: Eukaryota; Metazoa; Chordata; Mammalia; Rodentia; Sciuridae.